UACAGAGGUCCCAAGCGUUGUUCGGAUUCACUGGGCGUAAAGGGUGCGUAGGUGGCGAGGUAAGUCGGAUGUGAAAGCUCGGAGCUCAACUCCGAAAUGGCAUUGGAAACUACCUUGCUCGAGGGUUGGAGGGGGGACUGGAAUGCUUGGUGUAGCAGUGAAAUGCGUAGAUAUCAAGCGGAACACCAGUGGCGAAGGCGAGUCCCUGGACGACUCCUGACACUGAGGCACGAAAGCUAGGGGAGCAAACAGG
Molecule: ribosomal RNA, 253 nt
Filed under: uncultured bacterium
Lineage: Bacteria
Description: partial 16S ribosomal RNA
Rfam family: Bacterial small subunit ribosomal RNA
Source: RNAcentral